RNAcentral lists this ribosomal RNA (1043 nucleotides) under gut metagenome. Its description in RNAcentral is "bacterial SSU rRNA". It matches the Rfam family "Bacterial small subunit ribosomal RNA", at positions 8 to 1063 of the family's 1533-position model. The record is from RNAcentral.
AGAGUUUGAUCCUGGCUCAGGACGAACGCUGGCGGCGCGCCUAACACAUGCAAGUCGAACGGAGCUGAGAGGAGCUUGCUUUUCUUAGCUUAGUGGCGAACGGGUGAGUAACGCGUGAGUAACCUGCCCUGGAGUGGGGGACAACAGUUGGAAACGACUGCUAAUACCGCAUAAGCCCACGGCCCGGCAUCGGGCUGAGGGAAAAGGAUUUAUUCGCUUCAGGAUGGACUCGCGUCCAAUUAGCUAGUUGGUGAGGUAACGGCCCACCAAGGCGACGAUUGGUAGCCGGACUGAGAGGUUGAACGGCCACAUUGGGACUGAGACACGGCCCAGACUCCUACGGGAGGCAGCAGUGGGGGAUAUUGCACAAUGGGGGAAACCCUGAUGCAGCGACGCCGCGUGGAGGAAGAAGGUUUUCGGAUUGUAAACUCCUGUCGUUAGGGACGAUAAUGACGGUACCUAACAAGAAAGCACCGGCUAACUACGUGCCAGCAGCCGCGGUAAAACGUAGGGUGCAAGCGUUGUCCGGAAUUACUGGGUGUAAAGGGAGCGCAGGCGGACCGGCAAGUUGGAAGUGAAAACUAUGGGCUCAACCCAUAAAUUGCUUUCAAAACUGCUGGCCUUGAGUAGUGCAGAGGUAGGUGGAAUUCCCGGUGUAGCGGUGGAAUGCGUAGAUAUCGGGAGGAACACCAGUGGCGAAGGCGACCUACUGGGCACCAACUGACGCUGAGGCUCGAAAGCAUGGGUAGCAAACAGGAUUAGAUACCCUGGUAGUCCAUGCCGUAAACGAUGAUUACUAGGUGUUGGAGGAUUGACCCCUUCAGUGCCGCAGUUAACACAAUAAGUAAUCCACCUGGGGAGUACGACCGCAAGGUUGAAACUCAAAGGAAUUGACGGGGGCCCGCACAAGCAGUGGAGUAUGUGGUUUAAUUCGAAGCAACGCGAAGAACCUUACCAGGUCUUGACAUCCGAUGCAUAGUGCAGAGAUGCAUGAAGUCCUUCGGGACAUCGAGACAGGUGGUGCAUGGUUGUCGUCAGCUCGU